AACGAACGCUGGCGGCAUGCCUAACACAUGCAAGUCGAACGAGACCUUCGGGUCUAGUGGCGCACGGGUGCGUAACGCGUGGGAACCUGCCCUUAGGUUCGGAAUAACUCCCCGAAAGGGGUGCUAAUACCGGAUAAUGUCUUCGGACCAAAGAUUUAUCGCCUUUGGAUGGGCCCGCGUUGGAUUAGCUAGUUGGUAGGGUAAAAGCCGACCAAGGCGACGAUCCAUAGCUGGUCUGAGAGGAUGAUCCGCCACACUGGGACUGGGACACGGCCCAGACGCCUACGGGAGGCAGCAGUGGGGAAUAUUGGACACUGGGCGAAAGCCUGAUCCAGCAAUGCCGCGUGAGUGAUGAAGGCCUUAGGGUUGUAAAGCUCUUUACCCGGGAUGAUAAUGACAGUACCGGGAGAAUAAGCUCCGGCUAACUCCGUG
This 432-nucleotide ribosomal RNA is filed under the name uncultured bacterium. Its description in RNAcentral is "partial 16S ribosomal RNA". It matches the Rfam family "Bacterial small subunit ribosomal RNA", at positions 29 to 507 of the family's 1533-position model. The record is from RNAcentral.